This 400-nucleotide ribosomal RNA is filed under the name phytoplankton environmental sample. Its description in RNAcentral is "partial small subunit ribosomal RNA". It matches the Rfam family "Eukaryotic small subunit ribosomal RNA", at positions 587 to 993 of the family's 1831-position model. The record is from RNAcentral.
AGCUCCAAUAGCGUAUAUUAAAGUUGUUGCAGUUAAAAAGCUCGUAGUUGGAUUUCGGGAUGGGCCAGUUGGUCGGCCGCAAGGUCUGUUACUGACUGGUUUGUUCUUCUUCGCAAAGACUGCGUGUGCUCUUUACUGAGUGUGCGUAGGAUUUACGACGUUUACUUUGAAAAAAUUAGAGUGUUCAAAGCAGGCUAUCGCUUGAAUACAUGAGCAUGGAAUAAUGGAAUAGGACUUUGGUUCUAUUUUGUUGGUUUCUAGGGCCGAAGUAAUGAUUAAGAGGGACAAUUGGGGGCAUCCGUAUUUCGUUGUCAGAGGUGAAAUUCUUGGAUUUACGAAAGACGAACAACUGCGAAAGCACUUGCCAAGAGUGUUUUCAUUAAUCAAGAACGAAAGUACG